GCUAAUAUGGUGUAUAGAGCACGUAGGGUUUUCAUUCCUAAGGAGAGGUGAGUCCUCUAUAAGUU
This 65-nucleotide transfer RNA is filed under the name Bathymodiolus marisindicus. RNAcentral's name for it is "tRNA-Glu". Lineage: Eukaryota; Metazoa; Mollusca; Bivalvia; Mytilida; Modiolidae. The record is from RNAcentral.